CCUCAAUACAGACCUGUUCUUAGGCAGAUCAUGAUUACAUUUGAUGCAUCAUUCAUGUAACCUUCUACUAUUGAGCCAAAUAAACCUGAGAUCUUUCCAUGGAAAUUGUAGUUUAACAUACGCUAGUCUGACAUGAUUGUAUUGUUUUCUGCCAAGGAGACGUACUGUAACCAUUGUUUGUUUUAAUCUUCAAAAUGAAAGCACAGGAGAAGCUUUCCUAUUGUGUUAUUGACUGUACGUUUGUUUACUCCAUGUGUAACUGUGUUGUUUGUGUCGCACAGCUUUGCUUUAUCUUGGCCAGGUCUCAGUUGUAAAUGAGACCUUGUUCUCAACUGGUCUACCUGGUUAAAUAAAGGUGUUCUCAACUGGUCUACCUGGUUAAAUAAAGGUGAUCUCAACUGGUCUACCUGGUUAAAUAAAGGUGUUCUCAACUGGCCUACCUGGGUAAAUAAAGGUGUUCUCAACUGGUCUAC
Molecule: long non-coding RNA, 473 nt
Organism: Oncorhynchus tshawytscha (Chinook salmon)
Lineage: Eukaryota; Metazoa; Chordata; Actinopteri; Salmoniformes; Salmonidae
Source: Ensembl